RNAcentral lists this transfer-messenger RNA (430 nucleotides) under Roseibium sp. RKSG952. RNAcentral describes it as "Alphaproteobacteria transfer-messenger RNA". It matches the Rfam family "Alphaproteobacteria transfer-messenger RNA". Rfam says of the family: Bacterial tmRNA, also known as 10Sa RNA or SsrA, is named for its dual tRNA and mRNA-like properties. Its role is to liberate the mRNA from a stalled ribosome. Lineage: Bacteria; Pseudomonadati; Pseudomonadota; Alphaproteobacteria; Hyphomicrobiales; Stappiaceae. The record is from Rfam by way of RNAcentral.
AGUCUUUGAUUUUUUUUUAAAUUCAUGUAUAAAUCAUUCUUGUCGCUUCGGCGACUAUGACGGUAGAGUGCGUGACGUACUAGAUGUUCUGGACCCGGGGGCAGAACCCGGCGCCUCCACCAACAGCCCAUACGGUCGGGUCUCCGCGAGGAAAACGGUAGGACACCUUUCGGAAUAAAGAAUCCCGUUUGCUAAAUGACGUAUGGGUUGCUGAUGGGGGCGAAAUAGGAUCGACAGGCGUUGAAAGGUGAUGUGUGCCGUUCGGAAUGGUAUCCGCCGUUAUCGGGCCAAGCUUAGUAUCUGCAAACGAUAACUUCGCAAAGGAUUUCGCUGUCGCUGCCUGAGGGCGGUGCCGGUAGUCCGGUUUAAGUCCGCGGGAUAUAGCGCCCGUGGCGGGGUUCGAAGGCACCUGGCAACAGAAGCCCUCACU